This 406-nucleotide ribosomal RNA is filed under the name uncultured bacterium. RNAcentral's name for it is "partial 16S ribosomal RNA". It matches the Rfam family "Bacterial small subunit ribosomal RNA", at positions 29 to 526 of the family's 1533-position model. The record is from RNAcentral.
AUUGAACGCUGGCGGCAGGCCUAACACAUGCAAGUCGAACGAGUGGCGGACGGGUGAGUAAUGUCUGGGAAACUGCCUGAUGGAGGGGGAUAACUACUGGAAACGGUAGCUAAUACCGCAUACCAUCAGAUGUGCCCAGAUGGGAUUAGCUAGUGGGUGGGGUACCGGCUCACCAAGGCGACGACCCCUAGCUGGUCUGAGAGGAUGACCAGCCACACUGGGACUGAGACACGGUCCAGACUCCGACGGGAGGCAGCAGGGGGGAAUAUUGCACAAUGGGCGCAAGCCUGAUGCAGCCAUGCAGCGUGUAUGAAGAAGGCCUUCGGAUUGUAAAGUACUUUCAGCGGGGAGGCGUUACCCGCAGAAGAAGCACCGGCUAACUCCGUGCCAGCAACCGCGGGAAUAC